GUGGGUUAUGGUGACAUGCACCCAGUCACUAUUGGGGGCAAAAUAGUAGGGUCUCUCUGUGCCAUAGCUGGGGUGCUGACCAUUGCCUUGCCUGUGCCCGUGAUAGUCUCCAAC
Molecule: non-coding RNA, 114 nt
Organism: Podarcis lilfordi (Lilford's wall lizard)
Lineage: Eukaryota; Metazoa; Chordata; Lepidosauria; Squamata; Lacertidae
Source: the annotation of a GenBank genome assembly